RNAcentral lists this long non-coding RNA (1620 nucleotides) under Cotesia glomerata. Its description in RNAcentral is "uncharacterized LOC123267476, transcript variant X2". Lineage: Eukaryota; Metazoa; Arthropoda; Insecta; Hymenoptera; Braconidae. The record is from RNAcentral.
GGCUCUAGGAAAGUAUUCAUAAGUAUCAAAACAAGGAUAAAAGUUUUGGAAGCCACAACAGGGUUUAACUAAAUUGUCGCGAUGCGAUGCAAAUGAUUCAGUAACAGCUUCCCCUCCUGGGCAUCCACUCUUCCGCCGUAUUAACAAUGUUGGCGCUGGUUUAACUCAAAAUCACUAUACAUAUUUUAACACGGGCGUAACCGCAAGAAAAUUGCCUAUUACGUAUACAUAUAAAACGAUAUGUAUAUAACUGUAUUUACCACGGACAAGGGUAUAAAAUCAUCAACUAAACGCCAGCUAUGCUGCGUAAAAGGAAUGAAGGGCUUCUUCAUGAUUCUAUAUAACAAGUGUUGGAAAGAGGGUAGCCUCAGGCAAAAGCUGAACGUUGCAGAGGCAUAUUCGAUAGAUAAAUCAAAAGACGUGGAACGAGUCGAGUUGUCGCUUCAAGAGAUAGUCUGCACAGCUUUACGUACUCCGGCACAAGAGCCCGCAGGAAGCGUGUGCUUUGCUAACGAUGACAAACGACGGCCACUUCGUCGUGCAAGGCGGAGACGAUAUUUAUGCUAAUCCAGUCUCUCUCGUGCGACAAUAACCGACAAGAAAACAGAGAAAGAAAGAGAGUCAUAUAAGUUUACUUAUAUUUCUCGGUUAUGUUGGUCGUAGCUGAUAUGAGAGAGUGCUAUGCCGCACCUACUGGUUUACUACUACUGAAUAGUACUGUACAACUCAACUAUACUAGUGCACGGUAAGCUGGCACAGCUCUAUUUCCCCCUUGCCAAGAAUAUGGAUCGGUUCUAUAACAAUAUUGCCGUACGCGCCUUGGCUACAUCAAUAUGAUAUACAUAUAUAUUCCAUUGUUUCCAAGUUUUCGGGAUCCAUUUGUAAGAUUAAAUUUGUAAUGCCGAGUUACUCCGGCUGUUGUGUGCUGGCAUGAGACAACGUGUCCCCGGCAGUUGCAUAUGGCUGCUUGGUCAAUUUUCUACCCAGCGUUAUAAUAAAUAUAUGUGUGGUCACUAAGAGCUUUCACCAGACACUUUUGAAUAAUUAUCUCGGUUCUCCAUAUGUCUUGUGUUUAAAAAGAGAAUUAUAAAAGGGACCAUUUCGUAGAAGAGCUUCCGGUCCCAUGGACGCCACAUUUGUCGAUAACACACAGGGUGUAUAAAAUAAGCACAUCGUACGUCUAGGGACCAAAUCCGAUACAGUUUACACCCGUUCGACCGCGUAUAGUUUCUUUGAAUCUUAACGGUACGCUGUACCCUUUUGAUAUGAGAAAUGAGUACGAAAGAGACAAGAGAGGAUACAGAAGAGCAAGCAACCGUAUACGUACCAAAAGGUAUACGUAAUAGCCAAUAGAACCAUGAGCACAAGCCCGCAAAACGGCACGAAGAAGAUGGAGAAUGGUCAGAAAUUAAUAUCUGCUUUGGACGUAAUCGGAUUGUCGGUGAUUUAACGGUUCGUGAGAGAACUGUCGUCGGAGUAUAUAAGAGUUUUUAUUUGUGAUUUCUUCUCCUUUAACCGAGGUCUUGUGACGGUCUAUUGCUGAAUAGAGAACGACGACGAGACCUUACGUCGUCACUUGGCGGCUCCGUGGACCAUAGACCCACCAGUACUUCUUUUGAC